This 404-nucleotide ribosomal RNA is filed under the name uncultured microorganism. RNAcentral describes it as "bacterial SSU rRNA". It matches the Rfam family "Bacterial small subunit ribosomal RNA", at positions 9 to 410 of the family's 1533-position model. The record is from RNAcentral.
GAGUUUGAUCUUGGCUCAGAUUGAACGCUGGCGGCAUGCCUUACACAUGCAAGUCGAACGGCAGCAUGAUCUAGCUUGCUAGAUUGAUGGCGAGUGGCGAACGGGUGAGUAAUACAUCGGAACGUGCCCUGUAGUGGGGGAUAACUAGUCGAAAGAUUAGCUAAUACCGCAUACGACCUGAGGGUGAAAGUGGGGGACCGCAAGGCCUCAUGCUAUAGGAGCGGCCGAUGUCUGAUUAGCUAGUUGGUGGGGUAAAGGCCCACCAAGGCGACGAUCAGUAGCUGGUCUGAGAGGACGAUCAGCCACACUGGGACUGAGACACGGCCCAGACUCCUACGGGAGGCAGCAGUGGGGAAUUUGGACAAUGGGCGAAAGCCUGAUCCAGCAAUGCCGCGUGUGUGAAG